UCUAAGUCAAAUAUUUGGUAAUGCUGGUCAUGGUUUGACUAAGGACAUGGAUAGGCCUACGCAGACUCAAAACACAGAAAAGCUAAUCAAUUUUGUUCAAUUGUUUUCUCUCAUUAUAUUUAAUAUUUAGCAAUCCAUUAAUCUGACAGUUAAACAAGUGAUUCAGCCUCCUGAACUGGCUGAUGCUCAGUCAAGAUAUGAUAAACAUGUCAGCUAAGAAGGAACAUGUGGCCCAACAAUGUUCAUUAUGACAUGCAAAAAUAACCAAGUAAUCCAUGGCAAUAACCAAAUAAAAUGUGGCAACAUGGAAAACAACACAGAGUGUGAAGAUAACUAUGCAAUGCAAAUUUGACAAGCAUGAGCCAUUAAAGAUGGGCCACUUGGCCAACAAAUUAAAUGACUUGAAGUACUAUUUAAGCUUCUCCAGUGACAGAUCCAACCCUUUAACAAUUCUUCAAUAUCUUCUCUUCCAGAUGCAACAAAAAAAAUUAUAGCCGUGUACACCUUUGAACUUUCCUUUUCUUCAUCACAUACAUAUCAGACCAAGAAAAAUAAGAGUACUUUUGGAUGAAGGCCACAAAGCCUAAUCAACACCAAAUAAAGAGAACACUAAUGCCCACAAGUCUUUUUUUUUUUUAUGGGCAAAAUAAAGAGUACACUAAUGCCCACAAGUCUCGCACUACAAAACAAUGAUAACAAACAUGCUUCACCAACACCAAAUACCAUUUGCAUAUAUAACACUAGUUCACAAGGGUACAACUCCUUUGCACCAGCUGCACUAUGAUGAGAAUUUUUUUCCAAGAAGCUUCCCACACAAGAAAAAUGUCAAUCUUGGAUAGCACAAGAAAAAACCCAAGCAACCGAGAUCCAAUAGGAAAAGUUAGGUCAUAAAGGAAGUACCAUAAAGAAGUAUUUGACCAAGAAAACUUGCUUGAAGAUUUAUAAAUCAACACACCCUCUCUCAACUACUUGAUGAUUUUGCUACCAGAUGUUAGGCCAUAAAACUCCC
RNAcentral lists this long non-coding RNA (1009 nucleotides) under Vitis vinifera (wine grape). Its description in RNAcentral is "long non-coding RNA (VVIN_LNC006176)". The record is from RNAcentral. Lineage: Eukaryota; Viridiplantae; Streptophyta; Magnoliopsida; Vitales; Vitaceae.